RNAcentral lists this ribosomal RNA (240 nucleotides) under Triticum aestivum (bread wheat). RNAcentral's name for it is "partial small subunit ribosomal RNA". The record is from RNAcentral. Lineage: Eukaryota; Viridiplantae; Streptophyta; Magnoliopsida; Poales; Poaceae.
AUGGCCUCUAUCAUGGCCACCACCUCGGCCAUCUCGGGCCGCUUGUCGGGGUUCGCGUCCCAGCACCGUUUCAUCACGUUCGCCAAAGCGCUCGGACAGCACCGCGGUAUCUCCGGCCUCAGGUUCUGCACACCAACGAUGCUUUUUGUAUUAUUAUCAAAUCCCAAAGCUAUAAACAUCGCAUUUCCUAUUGUAAGGAUGACCAUUCAGGACCUGCACAUAGAUAGAUGCCGGCAUUAA